UCGUGCUAGGCGGGGUGCUAGCGGUGCCCUUUUCCCGCAAUCCGCUAUAGCGGGGUCGAAUUCCCACCUUCGGGCGUCCGGGGUCGAUGCGCGCGGCUGCGGAAGUGGUGACGACGGCCAGGUCCCGCGCAAUGGUCACCCGCGAACCCCGUCAGGACCGGAAGGUAGCAGCGGUAAGCGGACCCGGCCAUGUGAUGUGGGGUUGCCUGGCAAGAGCUAACCCGGGGUCGCGCCGCGGUUCCGGCGUUCAACGGCGGGUGCACGA
RNAcentral lists this signal recognition particle RNA (265 nucleotides) under Candidatus Krumholzibacteriia bacterium. RNAcentral describes it as "signal recognition particle sRNA large type". It matches the Rfam family "Bacterial large signal recognition particle RNA". From Rfam's summary of the family: The signal recognition particle (SRP) is a universally conserved ribonucleoprotein involved in the co-translational targeting of proteins to membranes. Archaeal SRP consists of a 7S RNA and homologues of the eukaryotic SRP19 and SRP54 proteins. Lineage: Bacteria; Candidatus Krumholzibacteriota; Candidatus Krumholzibacteriia. The record is from RNAcentral.